This 259-nucleotide ribosomal RNA is filed under the name uncultured bacterium. Its description in RNAcentral is "partial 16S ribosomal RNA". It matches the Rfam family "Bacterial small subunit ribosomal RNA", at positions 524 to 776 of the family's 1533-position model. The record is from RNAcentral.
UACGAAGGGGGCGAGCGUUGUUCGGAAUUACUGGGCGUAAAGGGCGCGUAGGCGGCGACUCUAGUCAGAUGUCGAAAGUCCGUGGGCUUAACCUGGGGACUGCAUUUGAUACUGGGUUGCUUGAAUUCGGGAGAGGACUAGCGGAAUUCCCAGUGUAGAGGUGAAAUGCGUGAGAGAGUCGGGAGGAACACCAGAGGCGAAGGCGGCUCGCUGGACAAGUAUUGACACUCAACUACGGAAAGCGUGGGGAGCAAACAGG